GCCCAGAUGGUGGAAUUGGUAGACACGCUACUUUGAGGGGGUAGUGCCGGCUUCGGCAUGCAAGUUCGAGUCUUGUUCUGGGCA
This 84-nucleotide transfer RNA is filed under the name Bacteroidales bacterium. RNAcentral describes it as "tRNA-Leu". It matches the Rfam family "tRNA". From Rfam's summary of the family: Transfer RNA (tRNA) molecules are approximately 80 nucleotides in length. Their secondary structure includes four short double-helical elements and three loops (D, anti-codon, and T loops). Further hydrogen bonds mediate the characteristic L-shaped molecular structure. tRNAs have two regions of fundamental functional importance: the anti-codon, which is responsible for specific mRNA codon recognition, and the 3' end, to which the tRNAs corresponding amino acid is attached (by aminoacyl-tRNA synthetases). tRNAs cope with the degeneracy of the genetic code in two manners: having more than one tRNA (with a specific anti-codon) for a particular amino acid; and 'wobble' base-pairing, i.e. permitting non-standard base-pairing at the 3rd anti-codon position. Lineage: Bacteria; Pseudomonadati; Bacteroidota; Bacteroidia; Bacteroidales. The record is from RNAcentral.